GCUACCAUAACAUGUGGUGUGGCUCCCGUCUCGUGGUUAACUUACUCAGCUCUGAAACACCAAAGCUCUUAACCCCUUCCCCUUCCUCUCUCUCUCUCUCGAUCGACAUAAAUCUUUCUAUUUUUCAAGUUUCUGUUCGCUGCCUCUUUGUUACAUUGGUAAGCAAAGCUAUCUUUCCUUCUUUCUUCUAAUAGAUAUAAGGUACAAUUUGAGUCUCCUUUUAUUGAAAUUCAACCUUUAGUUUGAUUACUUGCAUACCCACUUCUUACAAAAUUGUAAAAACCAUAUCUUUUUUUUUUCUUAUACUCUUAUUAGAGUAGCCAGUAUCUUUGUUAGUUGGUUUAGAGGUUUGUUCAUUAGUCUUAAAUAGUCACUGAGAAAUAGCAAAGAAAUCUUUUUGUUUCUCUCUCUCUCUCUCUCUUCGUGUGUGUGAUUUCAUGGCUUCUUCAUUGAUCAAUGGAGCUCAGAAUCUCAAGCUCAUUAGUGGCAUAACCAUAACUCCAACUGGGUUUGGUUUUGUUGGGUCAACUUUCCAGGAUAGGCGCUUGCCCAAUAAGAAGGGCUUAGUGUCUUUUGGUAGGAAUUACAAGGCUGGAACUUUAACACCCAGAUGCAGUAUAUCAUCCUUAAGGCCAGCUUCCCAGCCUAGGUUUAUACAGCACAAAAAAGAGGCAUUUUGGUUCUAUAGGUUCUUGUCUAUAGUAUAUGAUCAUGUCAUAAACCCUAUUCACUGGACUGAGGAUAUGCGGGACGAGGCGCUUGAGCCUGCUGAUCUCUUUGAUCGGAAUAUGAUAGUGGUAGAUGUAGGUGGUGGAACUGGGUUUACCACUCUUGGUAUAGUUAAGCAUGUGGAUGCCAAAAAUAUUACAAUUCUUGACCAGUCCCCACACCAGCUUGCCAAGGCGAAGCAGAAGGAGCCCUUGAAGGAAUGCAAGAUAGUUGAGGGUGAUGCAGAGGACCUUCCGUUCCCAACUGAUUAUGCGGAUCGAUAUGUAUCCGCUGGGAGUAUCGAGUAUUGGCCGGAUCCACAGCGUGGAAUCAAGGAGGCAUACAGGGUACUGAAGAUAAGGGGGAAAGCCUGUCUUAUAGGUCCUGUUUACCCAACCUUUUGGUUGUCUCGUUUCUUUGCAGACGUGUGGAUGCUCUUUCCAAAGGAGGAAGAGUACAUUGAAUGGUUUCAGAAGGCUGGUUUCAAAGAUGUUAAACUAAAAAGGAUUGGUCCAAAAUGGUACCGUGGCGUCCGUAGGCAUGGCCUGAUCAUGGGUUGCUCUGUAACAGGUGUGAAACCCUUUUCUGGAGACUCUCCCCUACAGCUUGGUCCAAAGGCGGAGGAUAUAAAGAAACCUGUGAAUCCAUUUGUUUUCCUUUUCCAGCUCAUUCUUGGUGCGAUAGCUGGAGCUUACUUUAUACUGGUUCCAAUUUACAUGUGGAUCAAAGAUCAAAUUGUUCCAAAAGGGAUGCCUAUCUAAUAUGGGAGGAAGCAAUGGAAAAUAGUUAUCAUUUUCUCAUUUCAUCAAGUGAAUAUUAGACAGCUUGUGAUGGUUAGUGUGUCCUCUGCUCAAGAUAAACCUGUUAAUAGCAAACCAGAUGAGGUAUAUAGUUGCUUCGGGUGGACAAAUUUGCCUCAGGGCUUAGUGCUGUUUGGGGCUACAAGUCUACAACUCCAAUAAGAUAGACUUUCACUUUUAAGGGUAAUCAUGGUCUUGGGGAUUUUUAAAUACACUUAUGGAAGGAUUAGCUGUGAAGAAACAGAGAGGUAAUGUAAUGAAGUUAACAAUUUCAUUGACAGUGAGCACUUCUGGGGUCUGGUGAAUUUAACCAGCAUCAUGUUCUAAGAAAUUCAAAACUGGUAUUAAAAAUGGUUCAACUAAUUUGGGUAUG
Quercus robur (English oak) is the source of this 1881-nucleotide RNA transcript. It is a transcript of the gene named 2-methyl-6-phytyl-1,4-hydroquinone methyltransferase, chloroplastic-like, with no coding region annotated. The transcript is spliced from 4 exons. Lineage: Eukaryota; Viridiplantae; Streptophyta; Magnoliopsida; Fagales; Fagaceae. The record is from RefSeq and is a predicted model, not a curated record.